GCGAACCGACCGCUCGGGGUAGCCCAGUUGCCUCUUCCCACGCCCGGCUCCUGCGCGGACCAAAACAAGAAAAAAAGGGCAGGGGCAGGCCCGGGAGCGCACGGCGCCGCGCAAGGGGCGGAGCUUUCGCUCGCAGCCCCAGCCGGUUGGGUUACCGGGUGUGGGAGGAGGCUGAGCGGCUUCCGAGUCUCCCGCGGUGGCGGGCCCGGACUUCCCCUUUCUCCCGACUGUAGAGCGGAGGCAUGGAGAUGGGCUAGCGGCCGGCGCGAGGCCGAGCGGGUAAUGUUCUAUUGGGGCCAGAGUUGUAUAUAUGAAUGCAUAACCUCACUCAUUCGUAAAAAGCCCAGGAAUCUCAGCUGAGAAGAUUGCUUCUCUGUAGAUCAUUUGCCCAGGUAAUUUUUCUUAAAACAAAUAUUUAAGACAUUUCUCAGCCACUUAAUGUAUGCAAGACACUGGUGUUAAAAAGAUAUAUCCUUGCCCUAACAGAUUCAAAUUUGCUGAUGGUAGGGCAGGUGGAUGGUAGAAGUGGGAGACGUAUAUGUACACAGUUCAGACCAACAUGCUAAGUGCAGUGUUGGAACAAGUACAGGAUCCUGUGGAGAUAGGGAAGCAGAUCAUCAAAUACAGAAAAGGAGAGGAUGGGUCAGACAAGCCUCCCAGACCUGACCCUGGAGGAAUGGCUCG
Molecule: long non-coding RNA, 684 nt
Filed under: Dasypus novemcinctus (nine-banded armadillo)
Lineage: Eukaryota; Metazoa; Chordata; Mammalia; Cingulata; Dasypodidae
Description: lncRNA (ENSDNOG00000051725.1)
Source: RNAcentral